UACAGGCGGGAUUCUGACUCCCCCAUACUGCUCAGAGAGUCGGUCAAACCAAACCGAGUAGUAAAGUGAAGGGUUCACCACCAGGCCGCAGCCUUUCAGUUAAUUACAAGCUAAAAAAAAAUUGUGUCAACAAAACGUGGAAAAGCAAAGUCGAAGCCAUGGGGUGGUCAAUUUAGAAAGAAGAAGGAAGAAUAAGAGGAGAAACGAGCCAAAGGUAAAGUUGCAAAUUAAUGAGAGCGUGUGAAAGACUGGGGAGCCACCUACUGUACAGCACGUCCUCAGUCACACAGGCCACCACACAAAUGACUUUGGACACUUCAGACCACCUGACAACCUGAGAAUGAAGCACUAGCCACUGACCUGCCUAGUUGACCUUCAGUUCUGACAGAUAGAAAGUUUCUGUUUGACAGAGGGACCAAUUAAGGUACCACGUAACAUUGUUUUUCUGAGGAAUGAGUGUAAUGGAAGAAGUUGACUACUUACUUCAGAAAGACAUUAGCUGGUGUAUAACUAAUGGCAAUGUAUAACUUAAUAUAUGCAGCCAUCCAUCUUCUAUGCUGCUUAUCCUCACGAGGGUUUUGGGGCAGUAUGCUGGAGCCUAUAUCGGCAGACUUCGGAUGAGAGGCGGGGUACACCCUGGACUGGGCGCCAGUCAAUCGCAGGGCACAUACUGUAUAGACAAACAAUCAUUCACACUCACAUUCGUACCGAUGGACAAUGUAGAGUCACCAAUUAACCUAACAUGCAUGUUUUUGGAAUGUGGGAGGAAACCUUCCACAUCUCCUGACUGUGUGGCCAAGAUGCUAACCACUCAGCCACCGUGCGGCCUAACUUAAUAUAGUUUUAAAUAAUAAUAA
Molecule: long non-coding RNA, 857 nt
Organism: Dunckerocampus dactyliophorus (ringed pipefish)
Lineage: Eukaryota; Metazoa; Chordata; Actinopteri; Syngnathiformes; Syngnathidae
Exons: 3
Source: RefSeq, a predicted model, not a curated record